GAUGAACGCUGGCGGCGUGCUUAACACAUGCAAGUCGAACGGGAAACCUUUUAUGGCAGCUUCGGCAGAUUUAGCUGGUUUCUAGUGGCGGACGGGUGAGUAACGCGGGGGUAACCUGCCUUAUACAGGGGGAUAACAGUCAGAAAUGGCUGCUAAUACCGCAUAAGCGCACAGAGCUGCAUGGCUCAGUGUGAAAAACUCCGGUGGUAUAAGAUGGACCCGCGUUGGAUUAGCUGGUUGGUGGGGUAACGGCCCACCAAGGCGACGAUCCAUAGCCGGCCUGAGAGGGUGAACGGCCACAUUGGGACUGAGACACGGCCCAGACUCCUACGGGAGGCAGCAGUGGGGAAUAUUGCACAAUGGGGGAAACCCUGAUGCAGCGACGCCGCGUGAAGGAAGAAGUAUCUCGGUAUGUAAACUUCUAUCAGCAGGGAAGAUAAUGACGGUACCUGACUAAGAAGCCCCGGCUAACUACGUG
Molecule: ribosomal RNA, 478 nt
Filed under: uncultured bacterium
Lineage: Bacteria
Description: partial 16S ribosomal RNA
Rfam family: Bacterial small subunit ribosomal RNA
Source: RNAcentral